Molecule: long non-coding RNA, 1618 nt
Organism: Tigriopus californicus
Lineage: Eukaryota; Metazoa; Arthropoda; Copepoda; Harpacticoida; Harpacticidae
Exons: 3
Source: RefSeq, a predicted model, not a curated record
UGACCAGGACAAGGAUGACGUUCCUGGAACUCUGCUGCAGACUCCAAUUGCAAUUUUGCGCUAGACUAAUUGACAAUUAUCAAUGGAUAUGUCCAACAUGUAACUCCAGCCGAUCUAUUCGCAACGAGAGUUUCAAUUUCGGGUUCCAAACUACAUUUACACCAGAUGGUCAACUUUACCCAUUAUUGGCUAAUAGAAUGCUGUUGCACCAGAUGUCAUAAGAAUCUGGCAUUUUGGGCGAGGGGACGCUGGUUGACUGGGCAAACUUCCACAGGGACAUAUGUCAGGUAAGAACAUCUCUCUGUAUUGUUAUGCUUCUGUGUAUUUUAUGGGGACGUUUAGGCAAGCUCUGGCAGGUUCGUUUGUUUGUUGGUACCAGUGCCGGCGAUGCAAGUUUGGAGCUUCAAACAUGUUUUUGAGAAGCUGACCCUUCUUUCACAUUGCUAUAUGAGGAAAGAUCAGCCUCUUUAAAACCAGUUCGAAACGCCAAUUUUGCAUCACUGGCAUUGGCAGGCAAGUUUGUUUGCUGGUACCAGCGCUUGCCUAAAUGUCCGAAUAUAUUACCCGAUAGUAAGGUUCAGUUGGGACCAAUGGUCUGUAAAAACCGCCAACUACCAUCCGUGUAAGUCCCUUGAAGCAUUCAAAAAGUGAAAAGUUAAACACAUCCAGAAUAUGUUUGAUUAUCAUUUGUUGGACACCUCUUUGGUCGCUGGCUUGGCUCUGGGUAGACGCAUUGGACACUUUGGAUCGAGGCGUACCCAUCUGGACAUGGUGGAAGGAUCUUGUCCUCGCUCCAAUGGAGGGCUUGGCUCGGGGUGGACGUGGCGUACCCAUCUGGGGGUGGUGGGCGGGUCUUAUCCUUGCUCCAAAGGAGGCUUGGAAUAUAUAAAUCGAAACCAGAGACAGAUAGGCGGAAUCUACGUAAAUGAAAAUGACGAGAUUGAGCCUGAGGUGGUCGAGAUAGACGAGAGCCUGAUUGCCCAAGCCAAAUAAAAUCUGGGCAGAUGGCCUUGAGCAAGAUGGAUCUUCGUGUGAGUGGAACGACGGUCAGGGGCUUGUUUCAUGGUCGAAGUACCAAAUCGAACAAGGGAAACUCUGGAGUGUCAUCGUUCAUGAUCAAAAUUUUGUCAAUCCUUUGGACGAACGGGUUCAUACCCAGACAAUUGAGGGGACUUGGAUGCAAAUGAAACGGAAAAUGAAGAGCCAAUCUGGAACAUUGGGCCGCCUUUUGCCAACCUACUUAGCUGAGUACAUUGGGCGCAGGUCCCCCUCCAAGAAAAAUCCAUUUGGAUGCAUUUUAGCCUGCAUUGGGGACCAGUACAAAUUUCCCUUACAUUUGCAUCCCGCAGCACCUCCAUUGCCGCCCCCGGUCCCACCGCCAGCCCAACCCCGGUCGCACUGCCAGCGCAGCUCCCAGUCUCACCACCACCGGUUGGUCCUCUCCAGCCGCCGCCAACGGUUGGUCCUCUCCAUCCACCGCCAACGGUUGGUCCUCUCCAGCCACCGCCUGCUUGUCCUUCUGAGCUGAUGCGGCCACAUGAUCACAAUAAUAAAUCAACAUUUUUCUAUUUUCUUUGUAUGUAGUUUCUGAACAAAACUAAACUAUCUAAGCCACUUA